GGGGACGCUACGGAUUCGACAGGGGUAGUUCGAGCUUAGGUUGCGAGUCGAGGGGAUCGACCUCGUUAAAACGUCAAAGCCUAUAACUGGCAAUCAAAAACAACUUUUAGCUGCCUAAUUAAGUCAGCUGUUCGCCCUUCCAUUGCCUGCGUGGUAAGGUAGCGGACUCAAAUUUAGCAGGAUACGCCGGAUUCUACCGUCUGAGGAUGAAGGAAGAGAAUAAUCAGACUAGCCGAGCCCGGGCGCCCGUCGAUAGGCAUAAGGAGCGGCGAAAGUGCGAAUAUAUCGACUACACUCGUAGAAGCUUAAGUGCCGAUAUUCUUGGACGUGGGUUCGACUCCCACCGUCUCCACCA
RNAcentral lists this transfer-messenger RNA (355 nucleotides) under Caryophanales. Its description in RNAcentral is "Bacillus_BD endozanthoxylica Standard tmRNA". It matches the Rfam family "transfer-messenger RNA". Rfam says of the family: Bacterial tmRNA, also known as 10Sa RNA or SsrA, is named for its dual tRNA and mRNA-like properties. Its role is to liberate the mRNA from a stalled ribosome. To accomplish this part of the tmRNA is used as a reading frame that ends in a translation stop signal. Lineage: Bacteria; Bacillati; Bacillota; Bacilli. The record is from RNAcentral. RNAcentral also lists the same sequence under 1 other name.